RNAcentral lists this small nucleolar RNA (89 nucleotides) under Cavia aperea (Brazilian guinea pig). The record is from RNAcentral. Lineage: Eukaryota; Metazoa; Chordata; Mammalia; Rodentia; Caviidae.
CAGGAGCCUAAAGAGAAUUCUUUCUGUGGUCUGUUGGCUAUUUCAGAACUUUGGAAAUGUAAUGGUCAAUUCAUCAGAAAGAAACAGCU